GACGGGGGAUGCAAGCGUUAUCCGGAAUCACUGGGCGUAAAGCGUCUGUAGGUGGUGAUGCAAGUCACUGGUGCAAAACUCUGGCUCAACCGGAGGAAAGCCAGUGAAACUGCAUGACUAGAGUGUGGGAGAGGUAGAAGGAAUUCCCUGAGUAGCGGUGAAAUGCGUAGAUACAGGGAAGAACACCGGAGGCGAAAGCGUUCCACGGGAACACAACUGACACUGAGAGCCGAAAGCUAGGGGAGCGAAUGGG
Molecule: ribosomal RNA, 253 nt
Filed under: uncultured bacterium
Lineage: Bacteria
Description: partial 16S ribosomal RNA
Rfam family: Bacterial small subunit ribosomal RNA
Source: RNAcentral